GGGAAGAUGUUAAACUUUUUGUAUCUGUCUUCUCUUUCUCACACCCACUUCUUCUGUAUAUAGAAAACUCUUAACUAUUGAAGAUGUAUAUCUCUGUGUGUGUGUGUGUGUGUGUGUUAUCUCGCUUUCUCUCCCCCACAAAAGUUGUUUUGCGUUAAAAGACUCAGAGAGACAGUGAAGUCUCUUAAAUAGAGAGAGAGAGAGAGAGAGAGAGAGAGAGGUGUUAAUAGGGAGGGGUGAGAGAGAGUCUUGUUUCUCUUUUUCUUGGGUUUUGGGGUAUGGUUUUGUUGGUUUCUUUCUGUCUCAUCCUAUCUCUGUCCCUGCGAAGGAGAGGAAGUCACGUGACGAGUCAUGCUUAUUAUAGAGACGUGAGCUUUGAAGUUUGCAUUUUUUUAUUGCUUUGAAGUUUCAACCUUAACUACAGUAAGCUUCUUUAUUUUGAAGAACUUUUCCAGACAAGACCAUUAACUGUAUAUAUCAUUCGAUUUAUUUCGCUUAGGUUUUCUCCAUUUUAGCCAAAAUAUCUUCAGUAUUUCGACUAGAGAGCUAACUAUAUUUAUUUCUUUUCCAAAAAUAGCUAACUAUAUAAUUCUAAGUAUAUGUGUGGAUUCAAGUCACAAUUUCUUAGCUAAUCGUAAAUUUCUAGUCAUUGCUUUAAAGAAUGCAAAGAAAAAAUUACUACUUGUUAUAUUACUACAUUUAAAAUCACACUAAAAUGUCAUCUGAUUUUAUAUAGACCUAUUUUCUAGAAUUCGAAAACAAACAACCAAACCGAGUGCCCACGCCUCCUUGAACAAAACACUGCCGGUACGAUCACUAGCCCAUUGGUUUGAAUGUUAGAUAUAUUGAUGAUGUUUGACUAAAGGAUCUCUAAAGUUUUUGAAAUGGUUUGGUGAUAGAAUUUAGUAUAUAGUUUGGAGUUAUUUGAUGCCUAUAAGAGUUCCUCGCAUUAUCUUUUGUUCGAAUUCUUGAAGUACGUUUCGAUGGUCGGUAAACUAAAUUAAAAAGAUUUAACAAGUUACCUUUUGCGUGGUUAUGUUAUUUCCACGUUAGGCUCUCUAGUAGAUGUGAUUAAAUAUAAAUUAACACCUUAUUCGCUGGUACCAAAAAUGGAUCCGAGAUAUUCCUUCUGCAUAUAUGAACCACGGAGGCUCUACUUUUAAUGUAUGUUUGUUUAAAUAUUAGAACCCAAAAACUAUUGUAUUAUGACUGAAGAUUAAAUUAAUCUGCAAGGAUUAUUGAAUUGUUUUGUUUUCCCGAUUAAUUAUGCCUAAGAACAAUAACUAAAGCAUAUAAGAAGCUCAUAGUUUUGAUUUAUAGAAAGAAAAAAAACAAGAACGAUAUUAAAACAUCGUUAAUUUUUCACAUCACACCAAAGAAAAAAAUGUUUGUCUUGCUAUAAAUUAAAACUAUGAGCUUAUAUGCUUUUGUAAAUUAAUCUGAGGUUGAUGUACCUUCAAUGAAACUUUGAGCUGAGAUAUUUUCGUGGUUAGAUACCCGACGUCAUAUUGAGAUUCGACUUAUUAGUUUGCAAUCUUCCCCACGCGCUUUUCAUCUAUAUACUUUAUCGUCUUUCACUCGUUUGAUUAUGAUCCUUUUCCCUAUGAUACGCUAAGCCAUAUAGGCUUCGAAUGUUACGAACCGUUCCGCUCCGCAGUAACAAAAAUCUUUAAAUAUAUUAUAUAUUCAUAUGUUUUUAUAACUGUUAAAACCGUACUGCAGUUAAACCGCUUAUUCCGCACCGCUCAAACCACAGUUGCCAUUCGGAGCCAUAAUGAAUUUGAAUUUGAUGUGUUGUUUUUUAUCGAGAAUAUUUUGAUGUGUUCUUUCUUUAUUGUUUCUGAAAGAGAGCAAGAAAUAACUGAAACUGAUUUUCUUGUUUUCAACACUUUCAAAGCGUAUAGUUAACGUGGUAAUACCAAAAAUGUGUCAUGUCAUACAUUUUGCUAAACCAAAAUAAAUUUCUUUUGACAUAUAGUAAGAGGAUGGAUGAUAAUUGAACAAAACUUUUAGUCGAAAGCAAACAAAACCCUUAAAAUAUAUUCCCUCAGUUUCAAAAUAAUACAUGUUUUAGAAAAUUUUCACAUUUUUUAAUAGAAUAUAUUAAAAUUUAAUUAUAAAUGCAUAAUUUUUUGUAAUUUUAUAUUUUUAUAUUUUUAAAUCAAUAAAAAAAAUUAAAAUGUAAUUAAUGUUUUUGAAUUUCAUAAUUUUCAUUAUAAUUUGACAAAAACUGUUUUGAAAAUAUAAAGUAUGUAUUUUUUUUAAACAAUUUUUUUUAAAGUAAAAUAUUUUUGAAACGAAUGGAGUAGGUUGAAGUGUGCACGCAAAAUAAACGAGAAUUUUUACACACAAAAAAAGAGAGACACAUUUUACAUGCAAACGACCAUAACAACAUAACGCCUAUGUGUCAAACAUGUGAUGUCCACGUAUAUUUUAUGUCUUUUCUCGCCUAAAAUUUGGCAAGUUUUGUUAAUUGUCGGUUUAUAAAUAACUAAUGAGAAAUGCUUAAUGGCAAGUGACAGUACUAUACUACUGGGAUUCAGUUUCUGAUAAAAACAAGAACAACUUCACUUUUUCUUCCAUAAAUCUAAGUUUUAUAGUAUUCAGAUAUGUCUUUACCAAUUGUUAGAUUCUACAUCUGACAUGAAAUAUAUGCAAACGUGCUCUAUAUUGAAUACUAGCAUUUGUUCAAAAGAAAAAAAAAAGAAUACUAGUAUUUCAAAUAAUGUUACUGAACAAAAACUUUUGGUUUCCACCUACCAACAAUUUAUUUGUUUCUUUUUUACACAAGAUAAAACGAUUUUUUAUUCACAAAAAAAAAAUUCAACCAAAUUUAUCAUUCUCUGUAUAUGCUUAAUUGUUGGCAAUUUCUAGUCUUAUACCAGUAAUCUCAAUUUGAUUAAUAUAAAUGCAACUAACAAUAUACAUUCGUCUUGCAGAUCUGCAAACCCUACAAACUGAGACACACAUAUAUAUAGGUAAGUUAUUCUCGAAGGAAAAUAUAUUAUUAUAUGCUUUACAAUUUUUUUUAAAUGUUUAGAAAAGAAAGGAAUAACAAUAAAGAGAAUUCAGAAAGUAGGACGACAUAAUAAAAUUCGUGGGGAAAGAAAAACAUAGGAAAUAAAUUGUAUGUAAUGAGAUAUGCGAAUCUAACUUUAGAUAUGUAUCUGAUGCAUGAAAUGAAACACCAUUAAUCCAUAUACAUUAGUGGCUUCUCGUUGGCCUGUCCGUACGGCCAGCUUUGGACGAAUAUGUAAACGAUAGCUCAUUGUAAAGUUAUUUUCUUUUUGUUGAAACAGCUUUUAUAAAGUAGCUGAACACUAAAGAUGAAACCAUAUAGUCUAAGGAUUUAUAAUUUAACGUUGAUAUAUGUAAGAAGGUAAUAUAAUAUGUAAAUGAAAUAUAACAAAUGGAAACCUUUGUGGCUAUUAUUUGGUCUAGUCCUGCAUUCUUUACUCAUAAUUGGAUACAAAAGAAGCUUUUGAAGCUUCAGCUACUUGUUUUAGAGCUCCCGAAAGUUGUUGCCCAUAGUGGUGAAUACGGUACUUUCGAGUAUGAAAUUAGUCCAUUUUUAGUUAUUUGACCCAUUCUACAAGAUUUGGUUGGCCACAACAUACGGGUUUGAUCAUUAGUUUCCAGUUAAUGUGAUGCAGCGGCAAUAGCCAAGGAUGGCGUUAUACCGAAUAUAAAUGGACUAACUUGACCAACAUAUAAUUCUAACUUUUAUCUUUCUUGACACAUCUAAAAGUAUCUAAUCUUAGUACACCAGUAAAGUAUGUAUUCUCAAAAAAAAAAGAAAAAAUCAAGUUUUUAAACUGCUGUAAACAUGGAUCUAACGGAUUGUAAAGUUAUUUAUUCAUAUAAUCACAAAUUUUAAACAAAUAUCUGCCUUUUGCAGAAGAAGUAGAAGGGGAAGAAGAAGAAGAAGAAGAAAACCUGCUGGAUAUGAUCAGAGGUGACAUUGCUGGGGUAGUAACCAGCCAUCAUGGGCUGCAUCUGCAUCAGGUGCUGUUGCAUCUCUUUUGCUAUUUUAUAUAAAACCUGAUUAUUAUUAUUUUUAUUUAUUUAUAGUUGCAAAAAUGUUUUAUAGAGAGAACCCCCACCACUAAACCCAAAGGAAAAAGAGAAGCCACCAGAGAAAGAGAGAGAGAGAGAGGGGAAGAUGUUAAACUUUUUGUAUCUGUCUUCUCUUUCUCACACCCACUUCUUCUGUAUAUAGAAAACUCUUAACUAUUGAAGAUGUAUAUCUCUGUGUGUGUGUGUGUGUGUGUGUUAUCUCGCUUUCUCUCCCCCACAAAAGUUGUUUUGCGUUAAAAGACUCAGAGAGACAGUGAAGUCUCUUAAAUAGAGAGAGAGAGAGAGAGAGAGAGAGAGAGGUGUUAAUAGGGAGGGGUGAGAGAGAGUCUUGUUUCUCUUUUUCUUGGGUUUUGG
This 4431-nucleotide long non-coding RNA is filed under the name Brassica napus (rape). Its description in RNAcentral is "long non-coding RNA (BNAP_LNC001690)". Lineage: Eukaryota; Viridiplantae; Streptophyta; Magnoliopsida; Brassicales; Brassicaceae. The record is from RNAcentral.